UACAGAGGUGGCAAGCGUUGUUCGGAAUUACUGGGCGUAAAGGGCGCGUAGGCGGCCAUCUAAGUCAGACGUGAAAUCCCCCGGCUUAACCUGGGAACUGCGUCUGAUACUGGACGGCUUGAGUAUGGGAGAGGGAUGUAGAAUUCCAGGUGUAGCGGUGAAAUGCGUAGAUAUCGCUUGGAACGCCAACGGUGAAAACAGGCUGCUGGGGGUGUGCUGACGCUGAGACACGAAAGCCAGGGGAGCGAACGGG
This 253-nucleotide ribosomal RNA is filed under the name uncultured bacterium. Its description in RNAcentral is "partial 16S ribosomal RNA". It matches the Rfam family "Bacterial small subunit ribosomal RNA", at positions 524 to 776 of the family's 1533-position model. The record is from RNAcentral.